Long non-coding RNA from Dermochelys coriacea (leatherback sea turtle), 4686 nucleotides. RefSeq lists it as uncharacterized. NCBI's taxonomy places the organism in Eukaryota, Metazoa, Chordata, Testudines, Dermochelyidae. The record is from RefSeq and is a predicted model, not a curated record. The transcript is spliced from 4 exons.
GCCCCCUAGCGGCCGCCUGGGUGCUGGCAGCGGCGCCACAGCGUCCGUGCGAUCCAGGCCCGACUCCUCCUCCCGGGGCUAAGCACCGUGUGAACGCUCGUGGCAGGCGGUCGCCUGAGGCCCGGCGUAAGAAGAGGGAGUGAAGACACGGGGGCAGAGGGCUGAGCUUAUCCAGCAGCGCGAAGUUUGCCUGAAAAGGGGCAUCAGCCCCAGCCCACCCUGAGAUCCACUGACCCAUGCGCUUCAGAGCCUGGGCGCCCAACACGCCGCCCGUACGUCCCUCGUGAAAAGCUCCCCGGGGGGGUAGACAGCAAAUCCAGCAAGGCGUGUAGGUUGCCCCUCGUAUAUUCCCUACCUUACGAAAACAGCAACACUCUUCCAAGAUCUCGCUUUCAUAGCUUGGUAUCACUUUGAAGAAGCCUGUUAUAAGACGAGGCUCCUGUGGUUCAUCAAGGAGUAUCAGAUGUGAAACAGCAUGAAGGGAUUUAAGAAGCCAACUCAAAUCGUUCCUCCUACACAAGCAUUCAGGGCCUUGAGCAGUCCAGGCAAACGACGCACGGUAGACGUCCCUCAACCACCUGAUGGCAUCCAACACCAUGAGUUGCUGCAUCAGUCGAGCGAAGGGUUGACCAAUUCUGCAUUCCCGCCACACUUGCUCGUUACUGGGGUCCCAAGCACCCAGGGCUCCGAUGAUCGGUUUGAGCCUGAACCCAGUAACCCUUAGCUGGAAAGUCAGUCCCAGUUGUGCCCUACUGCAACGGAUCCUGAUUCCUGCCCUGUAUCAGCUGAGCCGGAGUCCCAGCUAGAAACCAGGCCAAGACUGACAAGGCAGAUUCCCUGGAUGGAAAAUGGGCAUCAGCUGCAACCACCAGACUGCCAAGGCUACGACUUCUAUCUAUGGCUGACUGACUGGACAACCUGAGGGGGUGAAAAAGGAAGACCUGGGACAAGAUGUUUGCAGAACUCAUGGUAGAGUCUCACACAGGCCAGCUGAGAAGUGGAGGUUGUACACGAGCAUCCAGAGGGAGGAAGAAAUGCAGCUGUCUCAGGAGGUCGUGGCUGUGACCAAGAACAGCAUCACCAUGGCCACGGAGAGCAUGGAAAAAAGACGGGGAGAUACAGAGGCUGCUCCUGGACACUGUGCUGCAUGUGAAUGCUCUCCUUCACAACAUGCUCUUGCUCAGCCAACAGGCUCUGCAGCACCAUAAUCUGUGACUGAGCCAUGUCCUUCAGCCCCUGGACAAUAUCGGGUACUGGGACCAGUCGCAGUUCUUCCCCACCAUACUCCUGCAGUGGUGCUCCUUGGGAGCGUUCCCUUUUCAAAAUGAGCACUGAGACCUCUGGUGCUGGGAGCCCAGCUCUUUUGAGACCCGCAACACCCCUGACAGUUUUGAGCUGCAGCACUCAACUCCAGAACCCAUGCGGACAAGAAGAGCCAGAGGGAAAUCACACAUGUGCCUUCCCUGUAACUCUGAGCACCCCCCUGUGGAAUCUUCACAAGGAUACCCGCAGUUGAGAGGCACCAAUACCACCUACCCUUAGCGUGAGGAAACUUGGUGUAUUCCUGUUGUAGGUCAGCUCCCCACUGCAUCAGCACCUGGCAACACAAGCACUGCCUUCCUACUCCACAGGCCCUGAUCGCUAUACAGGUUAGUGAUAGGCAUACUCUACACCCGAGUCCUCCAAGCAUCCCCCUGGAGCACCCAGCCCCAAAUCUACUGGACACUCACAGAAUUCCCAGAUCCAAAGGACAGCACACCCCAGCUUACCAAUACACCUUAAGUCACAGCUCUGGAUAACACCCAGCACGUCAAUAGGUUUAUAGUAAAACCAAGAAGUUUAUUAAAUAAAGAACAGAGAUUUGAGAAGAAACAAGUAGAAUUACUAGAAACAAAUGGUUACAUAUAGAAUAAAAUCACAAUGGGCUUUCUAGAGCCUAGACUUAACUAACAAAACUUUCCCAUGUUUCAUAAGGGUCAGCUCAUCCAGAGCCAGAUUGGCUAUGAUACUUCAUUCAUAAGACAGGCCAGCUGGCAACUCAGUCCCUCAGCAAGGGAUAACUGGAUGUCACCCUGCACCCCCAGCUAUAGUUCCAACGAUACAUUGUCUUCACCUGCAAACAGGGUAACCCAAGGAGAGACUUUGCAACCACUUGAUUAGCAUGUUGCUCAGACUGUAAAUAGGUAGUCACUGUGAAGUGUACAAUACUUCCUCUACAUAUAGCCAGACAGGUAGAUAAGCAUCUCCUGCCUGAACGAAAUCUUUGAAGCCCCCAACUCACGGACACUAAGAACAUAAUUUUCAGUAUAUGUACAUAACUCCUUACAUAUUAUCCAUGCAGACAUUUCACAAUUAUUAUGAUGACCAUUGUGACACAGGCUUUCAUAGAAACCUUAUAUGACACUCUUUGGCAAACUAGUAUGUAUAUACCAGACUGUGUGAUCCUUGUAACCCUUAUCUAGCCCUAGUGCCUUCUGUCUGUUGGAUCAGGAUCACACCUCCCUCAACCCAAAAUUAUUCUAUUUGCAGUGUUCUUACUGUUCAACUUUCAGUUUUGUUUUGCAUUGGUGCUUCAAUGAAAGUUGUUGUCUAUAGUUGUUUGCUUAGCACAUUGUUUAGCUAAAUGUAUUUGCACAUAUGAAACUAUUAUUAUUUUUCCAUUGGUUCUAUCAAAAACUUUACUUUUAGUUUUUUAUUGUUCUUCCAUAAUCAGAACAGUUUAUAAAGCAUCAGUUAUGAGUGAUCAGUGCAUUUAUCUCAGCCAUUCCUUUAAAUAAAGCUGAAAACGUUCAUAGGGUUCACAAAAGUACAGAGGGAAUGUUCCAUUUCCUACCCAGUACCCCAGUGCUCACCCUGUAUCUUUCCCAACUCCCUUUCCAUGGGCUAACAGCGGCACAUAUUCAGGCCUAAGACUCAAAAUAUGAACAAUGGGGCCCUCUGAGCACAUUCCCCUGUUUUCUGUGGGACUCCUCCUGGCUGCUCGAAGCACCAAGCAAGCCUCUGCCGCCCACUUAUCAUUAAGGCUUUCUCCCCUGCUCUCACAAACAUUGUGCAGAACACAACAUGUAGUUAUAACAGUCAGAAUGUUUGUUUCUGCUGCUUCCAACCUAUUCCCUAAACAGCCGUCUGCCUUUCAAACAGCCAAAUGCAACCAGCAUUCUGCAACUACUCAGACAGAGGCGAUACAUGGGGGGAGGCAUGCAGGGUCACACCCUCACCCCCAGAUUGCUCGGUCACAUGAAGUGGCUGGGCCCCCUCCCUUCGGAGCAGCUGAGCCACGAGCUGCGCCAGGCAGGGAGAGGCAGAAGCAGAGGAGCAGCUGGGAGCUGCACAGAGAGGCUGCUGCUUUCUGGGAGUGGGGAUUGCUGGACGGAGGGCAUGGCUCGAGCUGUUCCAGGGUGGUGCUCCUGCACUGUCACCAGGCACAGGUCGUCAGUGCCCUCAGGCAACAGUUUAAAUGUUCCUUCCUUCUGUCCAAGUGGGGCGUGUAUGGCUUUGUUAGCCAGGGCAUCAGAGGAUAAGCCAGGACUCCCAGAAUAACCAGACCGACGUCCACACCAUUAAUGUCAACGGUGGUCCUGAAGGAAACGGUUCUUUGUCCAUUAUUCUAAAAAGAACUGAGUUCCGAAAGAUCCUAGCAUUGUAGACCCCUCCAGACCACUCUGCAUUUAUGUCUGUUAAUCUGCCACAGUGGCCGACCAGUCAUUGGAGCACCCGGGAGAAAUACCCCUUUCUGUUUAUGAGUUCUGCACCCUGGGUGGGGAUGUGAGAAUGAUAGGCACAUGGGGUCCAUCAAUAGCCCCCAAGCGGUUUGGGAACCUCUGGCAUGCAAAUCUAUCAAUAAUCUCCUGAGCACUAUGCAGUUUUACGACUCAGUUGGACAGCACCUUAUCAGUGGCAUAGCAGACCUGCAUGAGAGUGGGCCCCCAAUAGUUGAUCGCCCCACAACAAAUUGGUUAGUUAUGGACCAGUAGCAUUCUGUGGUGACCAGCUUCCAGAUGGCAAUGGUGACCCCGUUACUCCGUCGGUAAGGGGCACUGCAUGUUGAUACACUGUCGCUGCAGCUCCAGCAUCAGUUCUGCACAGAUCUCAAAAAACGUAACCCUCCCCAUCCUAAAGUUCUCUUGCCACUGCUGGUCGUCCUAUGUCUGCACAACAAUCCUCUCCCACCACUGGUUUCCUGGGUCCAGAAUCGGUGCUGAAUGCUGUGCAAGUGAUCCUGGAACUGGGCCUCUUGUUCCAACAGCUCAGCAUCAUCCUCUUCCUUCUGGCUGCCAUCGCUUCCGAGUAUUCUCCUGCCAUUGCAGGAGCUGCAGCUGCUGGCAUAGGACAUUUUCCUGCUUCUGCACAAUCCACGUCAUCUGCUCAGUGAUGUGCCGGAUGAAGACCAGUGUCAAAUUCGUCCAGCUUUGACUACUGUAAUAUAGCCCAAGCAGCUGGUGCUUAUUCACACUCCUCACCAUAGCGCUGCGGAGCAGUUGGGUCCAUGAUGGCCAACAGCAAUUCAAAAAUGGCACAAGGUCACCCCAAAGGGAAACAUAUGGGACAGAGAUGGUGGAAAUGUUGGAUUAUAUUAAAGAAGUUCUGUAUUAAAAUCACAAAUGAGUUUGAUUCCCCAUAGUUUAAAUUCCAGGGUAUUACUAUUAAGAGGUCUCUUGGUUUUUGGUACUGUUUCUCUCCCUCUCU